CGGAAAUAAAGAAAGGUAUGAGAAAGACUCGAAGCAGUGAACCUCGAGAACGAACCGAGUCCCAGAUUGGCCAGGCGGAGGUCCCACGCUGGCGUCACCACUCGAGGGACGAGGCGCCGCGCGGUCACGUGGAUAUCUGAAUUGCGCGUUAAUCACCUCAGUAAUUGAACACCGGUGUCAUUAGUUUGUGUAGUGGUCGUUAAUUGUACUUUGCAGUAGUGCAGGCAAAGGAAGCGUUAGACUCUCUAGCUUCCAUGGAGCUGACUUUGCCGUGGGUACUGAGCGCUGGCAGCAGGGAGUGUGGUGCUGGAGGCCUGGUGUUCCCUGUCUGAUUUACUCCGUGGCGACGCCGGACAGCAGUAGGAGCGAGAGGAGAUAAUUAGUGGGCUGUGUGUGGUGAGUGCCACAUUGUCUGUGAGGGACCCUCAGAGCCACACAGCACCAGCUGCAACAGCUACAGCAGCAGCAGCAGCAGCAGCAGCAGGAGGAGGAAAUGGCAUCCACCUUCUACCUCACCCAGUGUCACGGGGGCCUCCUCCUCCUCCAGCACUACAGGUGGUGACAGAGAGGGUGGCCAGCUUGUCCCUCCCUCCUGCCACCCAGCCACAGCACUGGCAGUUGCUGCAGUGAGACUGCCCAGGCACAAGUUUGUGCACGUGUCCAGGACGUGAAGGUGAUGGGAACGUGUCCUGUAGGAGGGAGCAGAGCUGUAACAGUACCCGAGUCUGCUGCUGUGCUGGGAGAAGGAGAAAAACAUCAGCAGUAGUUAGUAGUGGUAGUAGAAGUAUUCAGCAGUGCUGCUGCUGCUGCUGCUGCUGUCAGUGGUGCAGCUGUUCACUCCUCCACAGCUGCUGCCUUCCCUCAACAUACUGUGUCUUCCCUCACCUACAAUGAACAACUAUGAACAAUACCUCUCGUGCAAUCAGGCAGCGCUCAGCUGUACUCACCGAUAGACUGACCACUAAGAAUUACCUGUGGGCCACAUGACAAGGCCCAUGCCAGCCAGGCUUGGUUGCCAAUCAAUAACAACAACAACAACAUCUCGUGCAAUGAAGAACACUGAAUAACAACAACACCUCUCCCCUGCAUCAUCAACAAUCAACAACAUCUGCUUUGUUUCACUCAUGCUGCCUCCCCCCCCUCUCUCUCUCUCUCUCUCUCUCUCUCUCUCUCCUCACCUCACCUCACCUCACCUCAGGCCACAGCGCCACAGUAUGUCCCCCCACAGUAUGUUUACAAACCCACAGUGACUCCCCACAGCCCCUCACCAAUAAGUGACCCCCUCACACACACACACACACACACACACACACACACACACACACACACACACACACACACACA
Scylla paramamosain (green mud crab) is the source of this 1344-nucleotide long non-coding RNA. RefSeq lists it as uncharacterized. The record is from RefSeq and is a predicted model, not a curated record. The transcript has 3 exons. NCBI's taxonomy places the organism in Eukaryota, Metazoa, Arthropoda, Malacostraca, Decapoda, Portunidae.